This 181-nucleotide ribosomal RNA is filed under the name uncultured bacterium. RNAcentral's name for it is "partial 16S ribosomal RNA". It matches the Rfam family "Bacterial small subunit ribosomal RNA", at positions 1320 to 1500 of the family's 1533-position model. The record is from RNAcentral.
ACGAAGCUGGAAUCGCUAGUAAUCGCGAAUCAGAAUGUCGCGGUGAAUACGUUCCCGGGUCUUGUACACACCGCCCGUCACACCAUGGGAGUCGGUAACGCCCGAAGUCAGUGACUCAACCGAAAGGAGAGAGCUGCCGAAGGCGGGACUGGUAACUGGGGUGAAGUCGUAACAAGGUAAC